Long non-coding RNA from Macrobrachium nipponense, 1489 nucleotides. RefSeq lists it as uncharacterized. NCBI's taxonomy places the organism in Eukaryota, Metazoa, Arthropoda, Malacostraca, Decapoda, Palaemonidae. The record is from RefSeq and is a predicted model, not a curated record. The transcript is spliced from 3 exons.
UUCAUAUUCUCGCAUGGCGACAGGAAAGACUAGUAAUUAUUAAGAACUUGGUAUUUCAAUUGCCCUACUCUUGGUACCAUCAAACUGUCUUUCCUGCCGUCCAGUCUUUAAAGAUGGGUAGUUUGCUAACUCCUCCUCCUUCCAUAUGCUUUACUCGAGCGAAAACGGCGACGAGGAGCGAGGCAGCCCGGCCGUCAGGCAGACUCAGAGAGCGACUCGUAGAGAGAGACACAGAGAGAAGAGAGCAGAGACCUCACUCACCUGGGAAGGUUCCUACAAUUUUGAUUCGUCCGACAUGCCUGUCUUAGGCUAAAGGCUUUUAUUGGGAUCCCUGGUCUACGUCACCCUCUUGUGAACAUCUGCCAAAAUCCAUCUGCAACGCCUUUGUGCAUGGUUCGACAAUGGUGAUUUAGCUCUCGGACUAGUAACUCUAGCUUAUUCAUAAAUUCACCUUGUUAACACUUGGGAUGGUGUUUGGUUUCGGUGUAUCGGCCCUUUUAUUUCCUUCCUGAUACUAAUGUAAACCUCAGUUGCUCAAUUGUAAGGUAAUUUUAAGUGGGUUAUUAUUCCUAUGGGUAUAUUUUUCUACAUAAAUGACCAUGACUUUUAGAUACUAAUCUUCCUGAAUAUUUCUUUACAGACAGCGAGCGAAGCAGAACGAAGGAAACGCCCUACGAUCUACGUGAAUUGCCUUGUUCUCCUACCAGUUGUUUAUAACUACGGUACUACGUCAUUUUAAAGGCUUAUUUAUGUAAUAAAUAUCAUUAUUUAAUUACAUUUUUCCUUCCAACCUUUAUUUCAAACCACAGAUUUAUAUGGUGUUCUGCUUAUGGCGCCCAACGUGGGGCAACACGAAGAAAGGUGCUUAAUGAUGGUGCAGAUGAUCCAGUAGAGAAUUGACCACGACUGGGGCUCCCAAUAGUCUCUCAUAUUUCUAUUUGUAGGACAUUGACAUUUUCCUUUCCAGGAUAUUAACAUUUUAUUGGUAUAAAUAUAAUUUUUCUUUCCAGAAAAUUAACAUUUUAUUGGUUUGCAUUUGUUAUACUUUUGUUAUAAUGGCUAACUUACAGGUACUUAUCGGACAACGAAAAGUCAUUCGGAGAAAAGUCACCGAACAAUUCAAUAGGUCUGACACCUAUUCUGCCCUUACACAAGAAGAAAGUUAGCUAUUAAAGGUCUUCUUGUUAAUUAUAGAAACAAGUUGUCAGAGCUAGAUGAUCAAAUCCUCUUGAAGAAAUUUCCUGACAUAUCUGAUGAAGCAGAGUUAGAGCCAGAAUUAACAAGUUGCCAGGAUUAUCUAGACAAAAUUGAGCAUUGUCUACCAUUACUUGAUAUUUCAAGGAGGAAAAAUGAUUCUAAUAAUAUUCCCGACGUGGCCCGCAGUUUACUGAAACAGCCAACAGCUCCUCUUCCUAAGUUUACAAGCAAAGAAGGAGAAGAUUUCUUGAAAUUUAUAGCAGAGUUUGAGGCUACAACUAAUGCAUUUCAG